This 442-nucleotide ribosomal RNA is filed under the name uncultured bacterium. RNAcentral describes it as "partial 16S ribosomal RNA". It matches the Rfam family "Bacterial small subunit ribosomal RNA", at positions 338 to 795 of the family's 1533-position model. The record is from RNAcentral.
CCUACGGGAGGCAGCAGUGGGGAAUAUUGGGCAAUGGGCGCAAGCCUGACCCAGCAACGCCGCGUGAAGGAAGAAGGCUUUCGGGUUGUACACUUCUUUUAAGAGGGAAGCGCAGAAGACGGUACCUCUUGCAUAAGCUCCGGCUAACUACGUGCCAGCAGCCGCGGUAAUACGUAGGGCGCGAGCGUUGUCCGGAUUUACUGGGUGUAAAGGGUGUGCAGCCGGGAGGACAAGUCAGAUGUGAAAUCCCGCGGCUCAACCGCGGAACUGCAGUUGAAACUGUAUUUCUUGAGUGCUGGAGAGGCAGGCGGAAUGCGUGGUGUAGCGGUGAAAUGCGUAGAUAUUAGGAGGAACACCAGUGGCGAAGGCGGUCUGCUGGACAGCAACUGACGGUGAGGCGCGAAAGCGUGGGGAGCAAACAGGAUUAGAUACCCUUGUAGUC